RNA transcript from Halichondria panicea, 2867 nucleotides. It is a transcript of the gene named upstream stimulatory factor 2-like, with no coding region annotated. NCBI's taxonomy places the organism in Eukaryota, Metazoa, Porifera, Demospongiae, Suberitida, Halichondriidae. The record is from RefSeq and is a predicted model, not a curated record. The transcript is spliced from 10 exons.
CUUCAGUGCAUGCAUGCAUAGAUACGGAUACGAUGCUCUGUGAUGCAUGCGCCCUUAUUGAUAGACUGGCUAGGCUAGUUAGUCUGGCCACGCCCUCCCAUACUUCUUGUCGAGACUAAGAGUGGCAGUGACACAGCUACAAGACACGCUCUUUUCCUAUUCUAUCUCGAUCCAAUGCUGAAUCAGCAAGCCACGUGGUGCCUCUGGAGAAACAACAAAUCACUUUUAAUUUUUAAGCAUGGAGCCAGUUAAAUUGCCACAUCUGUAUUUGGUGGAUGCUUUGUCCAGUCCUACUGUGGGCCAUAGUGACAUAGCCAGGACCAUGGAGAGAGACCAUUGCUGAGGAGGUGGGGAGGGCAAGUUCCUGGUCAAUCAGAUGAUCUUACAUGACAAAGCUGCUCGUAAAGAUGCAGAGUCUGAUGACAAACUCAGGAUGAUGAACCUGAGGAUUUGUACAAAACAGGUGAGGUGGACUUUGACCCCAACUAUGAGAGUUUACUAGCGGAGCUCCACCUAGCAACCAGCGGUAGCAACGCACCUGGAGUGGAUCAGAUACAAUGAGAAACUAAUACUGGAGAAUUAUGCGGCCAUUUUUCAGCCCGGCCAAGUGUUGAGGAGACAAGAAGAGGCACUGAGAAUGGAGGUAGAGGCCUACUAUGCUGCUAAGAGAGGGGUCUCACGUAAACUGGCCACUCAGACGCUAACAGACCUCAGCAGUAUGGAAAAGGGUCUGUCAUCAGAGACUACAAACUGCCCAGCCCUUACAUGCAGCCCACCUCCAGUCUGGUGAGCAGCCUAUAAGCAGUGAGGGACAGUCUGAAGACAUGGGUCCAUGGACAGGGGCUACUGAGGAACAUCCAAGAGAUACUACACGUAGGAACAGAGCCGACCGACGUGGAGACGGUUACUAUCGCUACUGAAGAGGUGGUACCCAGUUCACAGUUUGAGAUAGAGAUAAGUCAGAGUGAUGAUGGGGAGAGUGUGGAGCAGCUACAGGCCAGUGACUUGGACCCUAACUUUGGCCUUGUGCAUGAUACCCAGGAGGUCCACACGCUCACUAGCGAUGAUGGUUUGCCCUCUGACAUGACCUCUGAGGAUGGCUCCACCCUCAACGCUAUAGGCCACGCCCUCAUUCAGAUGCAGCAAGGUGGACAGACCACCCCCUCAUCUCAGUUCCUCAUCACUAGGAGCACCUCAUCUGGUUCAGAGUCUGGCCAAAAUGGUGAGUAAUGGAGGCCAAAUUUAUCAGUGUGACGAUACAUUUUUGGGGGCAAAUCCAAAAUUAUAUAUAGGCUUCGAUAAGUUAUCCAAGUGCUUGUACUUACUAAUUACAUGUAGAACCAUGAGUAUUAUUGCUAAUGUUUGAGGUUUCUUGGAAGUGGUGUUGAAAAAUGUUAAUAGUCAGUUUUUAUAUGUUGUUGUGUGUGUUGAGGUCCUCUGUAUGUGAUGAUCCCACCAUCCAGUAGUGCUGAGAUACUGCAUGCAAUGGGUCGACCUAUAGCACCCAAGAUGAGCGGGAUAUCAACUAUGGAUUAUCACACGGCCGACCCCAUCGUUCAAAUGCAGUUGUCUGGGGAUAUGGCCGCCAACAGGGAAGCUCAAAGGAAGGCUACACACAAUGAAGGUGCUGCAAAUUCAAUACUGAAAGUUAUAGUGUACAACAGAUGUACAUGUACUUACGUAGUCAUAAUCACAUUUCCCACAAAAUACAAAUUUGUCACUUCUAAAACUAAUAACUUAUUUGCUGUGUGGGGGCUAUCCAUCCAUGCUGUAAACGUCUAAGUAUGCCUUGAUUUUCAUUUUAUACUGUACAGUAGGUGUGUGUGUGUGUGUGUGUGUGUGUGUGUGUGAGGUCAAGAUUCAUUUAUUUUGCCAAUUGGCUCAGCUUCAUUGUACAUGCCCUAAACACGAUAAUUACCAGUUGUUGUUGUUCUUCCCACGCCCAGUUGAGCGUCGGCGUCGGGACAGGAUCAACGAGCUCAUCAAGGUACUGGCUCAGAUAGUGCCUGCUUUUCAGAAGAAAGACGCAACUACUGGUUCCAUUGUCGGGUAUGUGUACAGCAAGGGAACGGUACUGGACAAGACAGUGGACUACUUGAAAGAGCUCGUGUUUCAAAAUGAACAACUCACAGCCAGUGCCAAAAUCGCAGAGAAAUCUUUAGCAAUGCUUCAAAACCAGAUCCAAGUCCUAGAGAAAGAGAACGCAUUUCUUCAAGCACAGAUUAUCCAGUUUGGAAUUGAUGUAGCUGCCUCCUCUGGUCAGAAGCAACCUAACCAGCAACUUCUAAACUCUCCUCUGGCCCAGAAUCUCCCCUUCACUUACUAUAGCUAUACAUUGUCAGUAUUAUUAUGUAUACCACACAUAGUUUUUAUACAUGAUAUUUGUCUUAUUGAACCUGAGCAUAAUAAAAUGUUGUGAACAAAGCUACGCCCCUCCAUCUCAAGCCGCACUUCCUCGAAAAUUGGCCUGGUAGUAUACGCUGCUUGUGCAUGCGCUAACCAUAAUUAUGCUACUGAACAUGAAAACUGUGCUGAUGAAGAACCUUCAUCAAGAACAAGAACACUGACUCAGGACGAGGAGGACUUUGACAAGUUCCUGGAGAGUGCCAAAGCUCAGCAGCUCUCACCCUCCACAAUUAAAAGUUCCCGAGCCCCACCCCUCACUGUCUGACUUGAAAGAGGAGAUAGACUUUGGAUUCUGGGAGAAGGCGUCCACCCUACCCUCGGACAAGACCCCAACCAAGGACCUGAACUUGUUAUGAGACUGUUAAUAUUAUUUUGUCUGUUUUUGUACUAUUUUCUGGCAAUGUAAUUAUGUAUGUACCACUUCAUGUCAUCAUAAUAACUAUAAUUAAAAGUCUGUUGCA